RNAcentral lists this long non-coding RNA (264 nucleotides) under Mytilus galloprovincialis (Mediterranean mussel). The record is from RNAcentral. Lineage: Eukaryota; Metazoa; Mollusca; Bivalvia; Mytilida; Mytilidae.
AAGGCCCAAACAUUAGAAUUAUCCUUCUGGAAUAAUUUAUCACCGAACUGCACUAACUCUAUCUUAUUUUUACCUCCUGCAUGGUAUGUUUUAUUGUAAAGAAUGGUUGUGUAUCUGACCAAAUAAAGUGCUCUAAAUAUAAUGAUUAAUAUAUUUCUCAGAUUUUAUUAAGUUUUAAAGUAGCUGACUGUGUUGAUUAUUGUUGAUUUUGCCAAUUUGAAUGAAAAAGGUUAAUUUUGUUGAUAUUUCAUAGUUUAGUGAAAG